UCGGUUUAAAACAAACUUAAUAUGAAAGUUGCUUAGAAUUUUGUCUAGUUUAAUAAUAUGUCACUUUCAUCUAUGUUUAAGAUGUUUAAAAUGUUGUUUGGUUAAAUUUGCCCCUAUGUCAUGUUAAAAAUGAUUUAAUUCAUAACUAUUUAGCCGUAACUCGGAAUUUAAUAAACUUUAUAUGUAAAUGGGGUGGAUAAAUGUCUAGUUUAACAUGGUGUACUUGCUUUGCAUGUUUAACAACUCUAAAAUAUGGUUUAGGGCAGAACAGUACCAAAUCAAACACAUGCACAUGAGGAUUUUCCGGAUUUGUUAUUUGUUAUUUCCGGCCUCAUUUAAAUUUGCCUAGAUAGGUAAUUUUCAUAUGCUUCACCCCUUGCCAUUUUUAAUAACAUUUAAUAUUGUUGGGUACAUAACCGAGAGAGAACUAAAUUAAUGAAUGUGGUGUUUCGUCAAUAUGCAACUCGUUGCACAUUGAUCUCCACUUAAUUUGUAGAAUUGCUUGUGCACUUUGCCAUGCCAUGCCUCAUUAAAUCGGACAUGCAUCAUACUUGUUGUGCAUCAUGCCAUGAUUUUGUGGUGGUUAUUUACUAUGAUGUGUGCUUCUUUCCGGUGUUGCUUUUUCGGGUUGGUUCCGAUAACGUCGCGUUGUGAGGACCCGUUCGACUACAUCCGUUUGUCUUCUUCAUGGACUCGUUCUUCUUCCUUGCAGGAUUUCAGGCAAGAUGACCAUACCCUCGAAAUCACUUCUAUCUUUGCUUGCUAGUUGAUCGCGCUUUUGCUAUGCCUAUGCUGCGAUACCUACCACUUGCUUAUCAUGCCUCCCAUAUUGUUAAACCAAGCCUUUAACCCACCUUGUUCUAGCAAACCGUUGUUUGGCUAUGUUACCGCUUUGCUCAGCCCCUCUUAUAGCGUUGUUAGUUGCAGGUGAAGAUUGAAGUUUGUUCCUUGUUGGAACAUGGAGAUGUUGUUCCUUGUUGGAACAUGUUUAUUUGUUGGGAUAUCACAAUAUCUCUUAUUUAAUUAAUGCAUCUAUAUACUUGGUAAAGGGUGGAAGGCUUGGCCUUAGGCCUUGUGUUUUGUUCCACUCUUGCCGCCCUAGUUUCCGUCAUAUCGGUGUUAUGUUCCCGGAUUUUGCGUUCCUUACGCGGUUGGGUUAUAAUGGGAACCCCUUGACAGUUCACCUUGAAUAAAACUCCUCCAGCAAGGCCCAACAUUGGUUUUACCAUUUGCCACCUAGCCUUUUCUUUCCCUUGGGUAGGCCUGCCCAAGGGUCAUCUUUAUUAAACCCCCGGGCCAGUGCUCCUCUGAGUGUUGGUCCAAUCUGUCAGCUGCCGGUGGCCACCAGGGGCAACUCUGGGCUGGCCUACCGGAACCUUGGACAAUCCGGUGUGCCCUGAGAAAGAGAUAUGUGCAGCUCCUAUCGGGAUUUGUUGGCACAUUCGGGUGGAUUUGCUGGUCUUGUUUUACCAUUGUUGAAAUGUCAACUGGGAUUCCGAGUCUGAUCGGGUCUUCCCGCUAGAAGGAAUAUCCUUCGUUGACCGUGAGAGCUUGUGAUGGGCUAAGUUGGGACACCCAUGCAGGGUAUUGAACUUUCGAAAGCCGUGCCUGCGGUUAUGGGCAGAUGGGAAUUUGUUAAUGUCCGGUUGUAAAACCUGAAGUUGACCUUAAUUAAAAUGCACCAACCGCGUGUGUAACCAUGAUGGUCUCUUCUCGGCGAAGUCCGGGAAGUGAACACGGUGUUGGAGUAAUGUUUGAUGUAGGUUGUUCUAGGAUCACUUCUUGAUCAUAGUUCUUCAUUCAUGCUUUGCCUUCUCUUCUCGCUCUCUUUUGCGAACAUGAUAGCCACCAUAUAUGCUAGUCACUUGCUGCAGCUCCACUCAGUACCUUGCCUUACCUAUAAGGUUAAAUAGUCUUGAUCGCGAGGGUUUGAGAUUGCUGAGUCUCCGUGACUCACAGAUACUUCCAAAACCAGUUUGCAGGUGCUGAUGUUACCGAGCAGGUGACACAACCAAUCUCAAGGAGGAGCUCAAUGAAGACCUUGUCCUUUGUGUUGUUUCGUUCUAGUUGAUUAGUAGUGGAGCCCAGUUGGGGUCGAUCGGGGAUCUGUGUAGCAUUUGGGGUAGUCUUCUUUUAUUUUGGUUCCAUAGUCGGACCUUGAUUGUAUUUGGUUGAUGUAAUGCUUUAUUCAUGUAUUUGUGUGAAGUGGCGAUUGUAAGCCAACUAUGUAUCUUUUCCCUUAUUGUAUUACAUGGGUUGUUUCCGAAGAUUACCUCACUUGCGACAUUGCUUUCAAUGCGGUUAUGCCUCUAAGUCGUGCUUCG
Molecule: long non-coding RNA, 2324 nt
Filed under: Triticum aestivum (bread wheat)
Lineage: Eukaryota; Viridiplantae; Streptophyta; Magnoliopsida; Poales; Poaceae
Description: long non-coding RNA (TAES_LNC025594)
Source: RNAcentral